RNAcentral lists this ribosomal RNA (468 nucleotides) under uncultured bacterium. RNAcentral's name for it is "partial 16S ribosomal RNA". It matches the Rfam family "Bacterial small subunit ribosomal RNA", at positions 28 to 507 of the family's 1533-position model. The record is from RNAcentral.
GACGAACGCUGGCGGCGUGCUUAACACAUGCAAGUCGAACGGAAAGGCCCUGCUUUUGUGGGGUGCUCGAGUGGCGAACGGGUGAGUAACACGUGAGUAACCUGCCCUUGACUUUGGGAUAACUUCAGGAAACUGGGGCUAAUACCGGAUAGGAGCUCCUGCUGCAUGGUGGGGGUUGGAAAGUUUCGGCGGUUGGGGAUGGACUCGCGGCUUAUCAGCUUGUUGGUGGGGUAGUGGCUUACCAAGGCUUUGACGGGUAGCCGGCCUGAGAGGGUGACCGGCCACAUUGGGACUGAGAUACGGCCCAGACUCCUAUGGGAGGCAGCAGUGGGGAAUAUUGCACAAUGGGCGGAAGCCUGAUGCAGCAACGCCGCGUGCGGGAUGACGGCCUUCGGGUUGUAAACCGCUUUCGCCUGUGACGAAGCGUGAGUGACGGUAGUGGGUAAAGAAGCACCGGCUAACUACGUG